GACGAACGCUGGCGGCGUGCUUAACACAUGCAAGUCGAACGGAAAGGCCCUGCUUUUGUGGGGUGCUCGAGUGGCGAACGGGUGAGUAACACGUGAGUAACCUGCCCUUGACUUUGGGAUAACUUCAGGAAACUGGGGCUAAUACCGGAUAGGAGCUCCUGCUGCAUGGUGGGGGGUGGAAAGUUUCGGCGGUUGGGGAUGGACUCGCGGCUUAUCAGCUUGUUGGUUGGGUAGUGGCUUACCAAGGCUUUGACGGGUAGCCGGCCUGAGAGGGUGACCGGCCACAUUGGGACUGAGAUACGGCCCAGACUCCUACGGGAGGCAGCAGUGGGGAAUAUUGCACAAUGGGCGGAAGCCUGAUGCAGCAACGCCGCGUGCGGGAUGACGGCCUUCGGGUUGUAAACCGCUUUCGCCUGUGACGAAGCGUGAGUGACGGUAAUGGGUAAAGAAGCACCGGCUAACUACGUG
Molecule: ribosomal RNA, 468 nt
Filed under: uncultured bacterium
Lineage: Bacteria
Description: partial 16S ribosomal RNA
Rfam family: Bacterial small subunit ribosomal RNA
Source: RNAcentral